ACAGGGAUUGCCCUAGUAACGGCGAGUGAAGCGGCAACAGCUCAAAUUUGAAAUCUGGCGUCUUCGGCGUCCGAGUUGUAAUUUGCAGAGGGCGCUUUGGCAUUGGCAGCGGUCCAAGUUCCUUGGAACAGGACGUCACAGAGGGUGAGAAUCCCGUACGUGGUCGCUAGCCUUUACCGUGUAAAGCCCCUUCGACGAGUCGAGUUGUUUGGGAAUGCAGCUCUAAAUGGGAGGUAAAUUUCUUCUAAAGCUAAAUACUGGCCAGAGACCGAUAGCGCACAAGUAGAGUGAUCGAAAGAUGAAAAGCACUUUGGAAAGAGAGUUAAAAAGCACGUGAAAUUGUUGAAAGGGAAGCGCUUGCAGCCAGACUUGCCUGUAGUUGCUCAUCCGGGUUUCUACCCGGUGCACUCUUCUAUAGGCAGGCCAGCAUCAGUUUGGGCGGUUGGAUAAAGGUCUCUGUCAUGUACCUCCUUUCGGGGAGAUCUUAUAGGGGAGACGACAUGCAACCAGCCUGGACUGAGGUCCGCGCAUCUGCUAGGAUGCUGGCGUAAUGGCUGUAAGCGGCCCGUCUUGAAACACGGACCAAGGAGUCUAACAUCUAUGCGAGUGUUUGGGUGUCAAGCCCGAACGCGUAAUGAAAGUGAACGGAGGUGGGAACCUUUCGGGGUGCACCAUCGACCGAUCCUGAUGUCUUCGGAUGGAUUUGAGUAAGAGCAUAGCUGUUGGGACCCGAAAGAUGGUGAACUAUGCUUGAAUAGGGUGAAGCCAGAGGAAACUCUGGUGGAGGCUCGCAGCGGUUCUGACGUGCAAAUCGAUCGUCAAAUUUGGGCAUAGGGGCGAAAGACUAAUCGAACUAUCUAGUAGCUGGUUCCUGCCGAAGUUUCCCCCUCAGGAAAAGCCG
RNAcentral lists this ribosomal RNA (901 nucleotides) under Stagonosporopsis hortensis. RNAcentral's name for it is "LSU rRNA". It matches the Rfam family "Eukaryotic large subunit ribosomal RNA", at positions 68 to 984 of the family's 3401-position model. RNAcentral also lists the same sequence under 1 other name. Lineage: Eukaryota; Fungi; Ascomycota; Dothideomycetes; Pleosporales; Didymellaceae. The record is from RNAcentral.